RNAcentral lists this ribosomal RNA (465 nucleotides) under Vreelandella stevensii. RNAcentral describes it as "partial 16S ribosomal RNA". It matches the Rfam family "Bacterial small subunit ribosomal RNA", at positions 338 to 795 of the family's 1533-position model. Lineage: Bacteria; Pseudomonadati; Pseudomonadota; Gammaproteobacteria; Oceanospirillales; Halomonadaceae. The record is from RNAcentral.
CCUACGGGGGGCUGCAGUGGGGAAUAUUAGACAAUGGGCGAAAGCCUGAUCCAGCCAUGCCGCGUGUGUGAAGAAGGCCUUCGGGUUGUAAAGCACUUUCAGUGGGGAAGAAAGCCUUGGGGCUAAUACCCUCGAGGAAGGACAUCACCCACAGAAGAAGCACCGGCUAACUCCGUGCCAGCAGCCGCGGUAAUACGGAGGGUGCGAGCGUUAAUCGGAAUUACUGGGCGUAAAGCGCGCGUAGGCGGUCUGAUAAGCCGGUUGUGAAAGCCCCGGGCUCAACCUGGGAACGGCAUCCGGAACUGUCAGGCUAGAGUGCAGGAGAGGAAGGUAGAAUUCCCGGUGUAGCGGUGAAAUGCGUAGAGAUCGGGAGGAAUACCAGUGGCGAAGGCGGCCUUCUGGACUGACACUGACGCUGAGGUGCGAAAGCGUGGGUAGCAAACAGGAUUAGAUACCCCAGUAGUC